GAUGAACGCUGGCGGCGUGCCUAAUACAUGCAAGUCGAGCGAACAGACGAGGAGCUUGCUUUUCUGACGUUAGCGGCGGACGGGUGAGUAACACGUGGAUAACCUACCUAUAAGACUGGGAUAACUUCGGGAAACCGGAGCUAAUACCGGAUAAUAUAUUGAACCGCAUGGUUCAAUAGUGAAAGACGGUUUUGCUGUCACUUAUAGAUGGAUCCGCGCUGCAUUAGCUAGUUGGUAAGGUAACGGCUUACCAAGGCAACGAUGCAUAGCCGACCUGAGAGGGUGAUCGGCCACACUGGAACUGAGACACGGUCCAGACUCCUACGGGAGGCAGCAGUAGGGAAUCUUCCGCAAUGGGCGAAAGCCUGACGGAGCAACGCCGCGUGAGUGAUGAAGGUCUUCGGAUCGUAAAACUCUGUUAUUAGGGAAGAACAAAUGUGUAAGUAACUGUGCACGUCUUGACGGUACCUAAUCAGAAAGCCACGGCUAACUACGUG
This 497-nucleotide ribosomal RNA is filed under the name uncultured bacterium. RNAcentral's name for it is "partial 16S ribosomal RNA". It matches the Rfam family "Bacterial small subunit ribosomal RNA", at positions 28 to 507 of the family's 1533-position model. The record is from RNAcentral.